This 75-nucleotide transfer RNA is filed under the name Proneotermes latifrons. RNAcentral describes it as "tRNA-Cys". Lineage: Eukaryota; Metazoa; Arthropoda; Insecta; Blattodea; Kalotermitidae. The record is from RNAcentral.
AGUCUUAUAUUCAUAUUUGUGAUGAUGGAAUGCAAUUCUGUUGGGGUGGUAGUAAGUGUUAUACCACUAAGGCUU